CGCGCAGGCGGCUUCCCAAGUCCCUCUUAAAAGUGCGGGGCUUAACCCCGUGAUGGGAAGGAAACUGGGAAGCUGGAGUAUCGGAGAGGAAAGUGGAAUUCCUAGUGUAGCGGUGAAAUGCGUAGAGAUUAGGAAGAACACCGGUGGCGAAGGCGACUUUCUGGACGAAAACUGACGCUGAGGCGCGAAAGCGUGGGGAGCGAACA
RNAcentral lists this ribosomal RNA (206 nucleotides) under uncultured bacterium. Its description in RNAcentral is "partial 16S ribosomal RNA". It matches the Rfam family "Bacterial small subunit ribosomal RNA", at positions 568 to 774 of the family's 1533-position model. The record is from RNAcentral.